RNAcentral lists this ribosomal RNA (252 nucleotides) under uncultured bacterium. Its description in RNAcentral is "partial 16S ribosomal RNA". It matches the Rfam family "Bacterial small subunit ribosomal RNA", at positions 524 to 776 of the family's 1533-position model. The record is from RNAcentral.
GACAGAGGUGCCAAGCGUUAGGCGGAAUCACUGGGCUUAAAGCGUGUGUAGGCGGAAUGGUAAGUACCUUGUGAAAUCCCACGGCUCAACCGUGGAACUGCUUGGUAUACUGCUUUCUUGAGCCACUUAGGGGCUGUCGGAACAAACGGUGGAGCGGUGAAAUGCGUAGAGAUCGGAAAGAACACCAACGGCGAAAGCACUCUGCUGGGCCGACACUGACACUGAGAGACGAAAGCUAGGGGAGCGAAUGGG